UCCAUUACACUUUUUUACUAAUUUAUAGUUGUAAAAUUGUAUAUAUCCUUGUAGGGAAUCAUGAGAUUCUUUUUGCUCAUAUCAUAUCUGUUGCCUCCAAAAGCAUCCACAUACCAUCUCUACAAAACCUGCAAAAUGGAAUAAUCAACUUGGCCUUUGCCCUUUCUUCACUUCUAAAGAAUAACUUUAAGCCUAUUAGUUUUCAGUCCCCAUUCACACUCCUUUUGUCCUCCUAUUGAAUACCUUUCAUUUGGACAAAAAUAAAGAAACAAUAUUUCAAUUCAAUUCAAUUUUUUUAAAUUUUAAAAGUAAUACAAUGUAUACAUGCGCGCGCACACACACACACAUAUAUAUAUAUAUAUAUAUAUAUAUAUGCAAAGACACGCGUAUAGGAGACUGAUUUACAGUAACGUCAGCACAAAUAUAUGAAAUACGCGAAUUGAAAGGCAGAAACAUCUUAAAAUUAUGAAUCACAGUUAACGUAUUUGUGCCUUUCAAUUUUCAUAUAAACGAAAAGCACAAAUACGUUAACUGUGAUUCAUCGUUAGUACUAAUUAUGGAUCGAUCUCUUAUAUUCACACAAUUUGAUGCUGAUAAGGGUGGUAAGGAUUCUUGAUAGACCGAGGAGGGUUUUUCAUGAGUUUGUUUCUCUCUUCC
This 657-nucleotide long non-coding RNA is filed under the name Panax ginseng (ginseng). RNAcentral describes it as "long non-coding RNA (PGIN_LNC016018)". The record is from RNAcentral. Lineage: Eukaryota; Viridiplantae; Streptophyta; Magnoliopsida; Apiales; Araliaceae.